CCUGAACCAAAUACAACCAGAUCUAAAUACUACAAUUUCAACUGAAAUUCUUUAACGUCUGAAAAUCACUGGGGUGAAAAACCAGUCAAAUAUUUUAGUGUUCAGUUCAUUCCUUCAUUUACUGAAAAUGCAUUCAUUACCUGAGGACAUUAAGAUGCAUGUAGGAGACAAUAGUUCCUGAAGGAAUAUGUAUCCAGGCAUUCAGAAGUUUAAUCCUAGUGAUGUUCUGGAAUGAGAAGACUUGAGUAUAUCUGCCCAUCCAUCCUGCAACUUUGCACCCAGGAAACUGCAGCCUCUUUCUUCCCUGGAGCUGAAAAUUCUUGUGGGCAUCAAAGGACAAGGCACUUGGAGUCAAUCCACGAAUGUGAUUAUCACUCUAACAAUGUAACUACUAGAGAUUUCCUGUAUAUAGACAAUUCUUUCUUUACAGUGCUAUAGUCAGUUCUCUGUUUUUUUAAGUAUGUUCAUGAAUAAUUUUUAGCA
RNAcentral lists this long non-coding RNA (483 nucleotides) under Macaca mulatta (Rhesus monkey). Its description in RNAcentral is "lncRNA (ENSMMUG00000054863.1)". Lineage: Eukaryota; Metazoa; Chordata; Mammalia; Primates; Cercopithecidae. The record is from RNAcentral.